UGCGGGGGGGGCAAGCGUUGUUCGGAAUUACUGGGCGUAAAGGGCUCGUAGGCGGCCAACUAAGUCAAACGUGAAAUCCCUCGGCUUAACCGGGGAACUGCGUCUGAUACUGGAUGGCUUGAGUUUGGGAGAGGGAUGCGGAAUUCCAGGUGUAGCGGUGAAAUGCGUAGAUAUCUGGAGGAACACCGGUGGCGAAGGCGGCAUCCUGGACCGAUACUGACGCUGAGGAGCGAAAGCCAGGGGAGCAAACGGG
This 253-nucleotide ribosomal RNA is filed under the name uncultured bacterium. RNAcentral's name for it is "partial 16S ribosomal RNA". It matches the Rfam family "Bacterial small subunit ribosomal RNA", at positions 524 to 776 of the family's 1533-position model. The record is from RNAcentral.